Molecule: ribosomal RNA, 519 nt
Filed under: uncultured eukaryote
Lineage: Eukaryota
Description: SSU rRNA
Rfam family: Eukaryotic small subunit ribosomal RNA
Source: RNAcentral
AGGGCACCACCAGGAGUGGAGCCUGCGGCUUAAUUUGACUCAACACGGGAAAACUCACCCGGCCCGGACACUGGAAGGAUUGACAGAUUGAGAGCUCUUUCUUGAUUCAGUGGGUGGUGGUGCAUGGCCGUUCUUAGUUGGUGGAGUGAUUUGUCUGGUUAAUUCCGAUAACGAACGAGACUCUAGCCUACUAAAUAGAUAGUCGGCUUACAAACGUCGACUAGACUUCUUAGAGGGACAGGCGGUGAUUCAACCGCACGAAACAGAGCAAUAACAGGUCUGUGAUGCCCUUAGAUGCCCGGGGCCGCACGCGCGCUACACUGAAGUGAUCAGCGUGCUUUUUCAGCCUACUCUGUCAAGAGUGGGAAACCCAAUGAACCUUCUUCGUGAUUGGGAUAGGGGAUUGUAAUUAUUCCCCUUGAACGAGGAAUUCCCAGUAAGCGCGAGUCAUAAGCUCGCGUUGAUUACGUCCCUGCCCUUUGUACACACCGCCCGUCGCUACUACCGAUUGAAUGUUUU